This 395-nucleotide long non-coding RNA is filed under the name Sorghum bicolor (sorghum). Its description in RNAcentral is "long non-coding RNA (SBIC_LNC006439)". The record is from RNAcentral. Lineage: Eukaryota; Viridiplantae; Streptophyta; Magnoliopsida; Poales; Poaceae.
UAGUAUUUGUGGUAUGAGGUAUAGUGAUAUUGUCUUCUCUCUCACCCUACUCUAAUAAGGUUUGAUAUUUGGAGCUCAUAGGUGGGAGACAGCUAAUACAUACUUACAAGACAUUUAUUGCAUAGUCAAACCAUGGAUCCAGAGAAACAAGUCAAUAAGUCAAAUCAAGAUGUGCAUGUGUGGCGAAUGAAUGGUGUAUGGUGAAAACAAUGGUGAAAACAUUGGUGAAAGUCUAAUUUCUACUUUUGCUCUUUUGAGGGGAUACAUACCUUUCUUGCACUUUGAAGCUUUUUUUUGAAAGGAGUGAGAUGCUCUAUAUUUUAUUUUUCUUUUCUCUCAGGUGGGUAUCUUGUACCCCUAUUUCUACUGUCGGACACUUGUCCAUUUUUACCUCU